Long non-coding RNA from Rosa rugosa (rugosa rose), 2047 nucleotides. RefSeq lists it as uncharacterized. NCBI's taxonomy places the organism in Eukaryota, Viridiplantae, Streptophyta, Magnoliopsida, Rosales, Rosaceae. The record is from RefSeq and is a predicted model, not a curated record. The transcript is spliced from 9 exons.
UUCCCUUACCCUCCGAUUAUAUAUUUCAAGUAUAUAUGAUGGUGUGUUCAACACUUCGUACUUUUUUCACUUUGUCUGAAACUCUCGAACCCUAUCUCUCUUCUCAUUCUCUCUCGCCCCCUUGUCUUUCCAAACCCUCUCUCUCUCUCUCUCCCCCCGAAUCUCACACACUCUCUCUAAAAUCCCCUCCGACUCUCUCUGAAAUUGAUGAAGAUGAAAUCUAUGUAGCUGCACCUUGAUUUCUUACGGGAGACGAUGGAGCAUCCCCAGUCGCCAAACCCUAGUCCGGCAAGCCUCCACGAAAGCAUAAAGCCUUUAAGGAGAACGCGCCUCCGCCUUAGAUCUCAUCUAUACGGCCUCGGAUUCGAAGCCUUCGUCGGCGGCCAAGUUGAAUAGUUUGUUGCCGCCAUGGCUACCGCCAUUAAAUCCUCUCAAACGGAAGCUUGAGAUGCUUCCUGAGAACAUUAACAAAGAGGCCUGAGACGCAGAGCAGCACCACCGGCCCAGAUUCCGACGAGCUUCGGCAACGAGCUUAGGGCCUACCUCCGUUGCCGCCUCGUCAAGACCUACGAUCAGUUUAGUUGCAAUACUUCUCCAACAGCUAGUUAGCUAGCUACCUUUUCUUUUGAACAAGUCUUGGAGUAACCUGUCGUCCAUGCUGAGCCUCUGAUUCUGGCUUCCAGGUCUGAUUUUGGUUAUCAAUUAUUAUCCAGGUGGCAGGAUAUCGAUGGGAAAAAGCCUUGAGAGGUUAUGGUAGAUAUUGGAGUUUGUUAGAGAUGGUGACAAAUCUGUGGUAGAGUUGAUGGAUACUGGGAAACAGCUUCUAAGGAGGAAGCCUUUUCUUCCGGGUGUUCAAUAUCUUUUGGAUAUGGUGCAGGUUGAGGGGACAUUUGGUGAUGGGACCAAGUUAAUCACCAUUCAUGAUCCAAUUUCUUGUGAUAAUGGAGAUCCGGAACUAGCUUUAAGGAACUCUUUUCUUCCUGGUAAAGGCUAAUUUAUGUUAGAAUGUUUCAAAUUACUUUCUUGUGGGACCUGUUGGCUUUAUUUAAUAUCACAUGGGCGGUGAUGAAGCGUAAUUGUUCUGGCUGAGCUUCAAGACAAAGAUCUGGAGAUGGGACGACAUCAGUUGUCAUUCUUGCUGCAGAGUUGUUAAAGAUAAUGAUAUAUGGGAUUUCUUCUCAUCCACGAGCAAAUGAUCUAGUGAAGCUCAAAAUUCACCUAACAUUCAUUAUUAGUGGUUACAGGCUUGCUAUGAGGGAAGCGUGCAAAUAUGUUGAGGAAAAGUUAGCCGUGAAGUACCCAGUUCAUGGAGACUGCAAGAUUGAGGACUGAAGCUAAAAAACGAGAGAAUUGAAGCUGCCCAAAGGGAGGAAAGGAUUAGGAAGGAAGCUGCUGAGCUGGACAAAAAAUUCACAGCCCAAAUGGAGCAGUUUAAGAUGCAACAAGAGGCAAUAAUGGCAAGGAAGGUGAAGGAACUAGCAACACUUGAAAUGGGUAGAUGGAUGAAAGAAGCUGGUUUUUCGGGGAUUGAGACACUAUCACAAGAUAUUGAGCCAAUGACUAAAGGUAGUAGACCUGUGAUCCCAACCCCAGCCAUCAAUGAUGUAUAUCGCCCGGAAAUGCCUCAAACUGUUCCAGAAUAGCAGCUGAAGUGAGCUGGUAAGUUUCACCUUAUGUAGAUGUCAUUUGUUGACUUUGAUGGUUUUGUUUUUGUCUACUUUGAGUUAAUCCUCAAAGCUCUAUCAAACUAUGUUCUUGGCCAAGGAUUUUGUUGUUAAAAGGGGGAAAAUCUUAGUCAUAUUCCACCUUGAACAACAUUGUAUUCUGGAAAAUAUCCUUGUUUUUUGUAUGCCAAGAAUUUAUUUAAGGUAUGAAGUAGAUGUCAUUUUUGUAUGCCAAGAAAUGUAAAUAAAGAUCUUGCUGGCAUGGCCAGUUUGUAUAUAUUGGGCACUUUCUCAACGAUAUAUAGCUGGAUUAAAACAAUGUAGAGAUAUUGGGAAUGUAAUUAAAGUUUACUUUAUUAUCAGUAAUUGUGGAUGAGUUUGAA